Molecule: ribosomal RNA, 433 nt
Filed under: uncultured bacterium
Lineage: Bacteria
Description: partial 16S ribosomal RNA
Rfam family: Bacterial small subunit ribosomal RNA
Source: RNAcentral
AACGAAGGAGGGAGGCAUGCCUAACACAUGCAAGUCGAACGAGACCUUCGGGUCUAGUGGCGCACGGGUGCGUAACGCGUGGGAACCUGCCUUUAGGUUCGGAAUAACUCAGAGAAAUUUGAGCUAAUACCGGAUGAUGUCUUCGGACCAAAGAUUUAUCGCCUUUAGAUGGGCCCGCGUUGGAUUAGCUAGUUGGUGGGGUAAAGGCCUACCAAGGCGACGAUCCAUAGCUGGUCUGAGAGGAUGAUCAGCCACACUGGGACUGAGACACGGCCCAGACUCCUACGGGAGGCAGCAGUGGGGAAUAUUGGACAAUGGGCGAAAGCCUGAUCCAGCAAUGCCGCGUGAGUGAUGAAGGCCUUAGGGUUGUAAAGCUCUUUUACCCGAGAUGAUAAUGACAGUAUCGGGAGAAUAAGCUCCGGCUAACUCCGUG